GACGAACGCUGGCGGCGUGCUUAACACAUGCAAGUCGAGCGGUAAGGCCCUUUCGGGGGUACACGAGCGGCGAACGGGUUGAGUAACACGUGGGUGACCUGCCCUCAGCUCUGGGAUAAGCCUGGGAAACCGGGUCUAAUACUGGAUAUGACUCCAUGACGCAUGUUGUGGGGUGGAAAGCCUUGUGCGGCUGAGGAUGGGCCCGCGGCCUAUCAGCUUGUUGGUGGGGUGAGGCCUACCAAGGCGACGACGGGUAGCCGGCCUGAGAGGGCGACCGGCCACACUGGGACUGAGACACGGCCCAGACUCCUACGGGAGGCAGCAGUGGGGAAUCUUGCGCAAUGGGCGAAAGCCUGACGCAGCGACGCCGCGUGAGGGAUGACGGCCU
RNAcentral lists this ribosomal RNA (388 nucleotides) under uncultured bacterium. RNAcentral's name for it is "bacterial SSU rRNA". It matches the Rfam family "Bacterial small subunit ribosomal RNA", at positions 28 to 417 of the family's 1533-position model. The record is from RNAcentral.